Long non-coding RNA from Capsicum annuum, 1354 nucleotides. RefSeq lists it as uncharacterized. The record is from RefSeq and is a predicted model, not a curated record. NCBI's taxonomy places the organism in Eukaryota, Viridiplantae, Streptophyta, Magnoliopsida, Solanales, Solanaceae. The transcript is spliced from 2 exons.
ACUACACAAAAUAAAUACAUACGACAACAUCCAUCAGAUUGAGAGACAAUACCAGGGGGCCACAGUGAAGAAAGGGGAAAUAUAGAGAGAGAAGGACGACCAUGGUCUUCUUUCUUCUUUUCUAAGAAAGCUCCAAAAUGCCAUAAAUACACAUACACAUAUUGACACACGCAUAACUCAUCUGAAACACACACACAAAGCGUGAGAUACACACUCAUCUGGUCGAGAGGGAGAGAUUGGGCAAUUGAGAGAUAGUGAGAGAAGAGAAAAGACGUGAGGCAGAGAGAUAGAGAAAAUGAAAGAGAAGGAAUACGAUAGAAAAGGUUGGCUGUUCUUUGGAUUUUUGGCAAAAUUUCUCGACAUAAUCGGCGUUUCCUUAUCAAAUCCGACCACCUGCAGACCCAAAAAUCCCUGAAUCCUCUUCGUCUCUUGUUCUCUGGCAAAAUAUCACUAAGAAUAUCAUCUUUGCUGACUGCCAGGAUUUACCAGUGCUCCGGCGAGUUCGAAUCUCAUCAGAAAUAGCAAAACCGAAGUCCAAAUAAUUAAACCCACAAUCGAGUCUGAGUGGAGUGGAGUUCGGGAUCAAAGUUAUUGAUUUGGGUUCGUGUUGAGGUUUUUGAUUUGAGUUUUCGAUGUGGACUCCAUCUCAUUCGAAUAAUAUUUGAGUUCGAAAGCGAUAUUAAGAUCCAUUUCUCAUCCCUUUCUUGAGUAAUUUUAAUUUUGAUAUCUUGUUGGGUGAAUUGAUAAUGUGUGGAUCUUGCUUUGGUUGGUUUUGUGAUGUUUGAAUCAUGAAUUUUGGUUGCUGUUAGUUUUGAAUUAUGAAAGUUGAAUUAAUAGUCUAAGGAUUGGUUAAUCAAUGAUUGAGGAUUAAAGUCGGCUAUUGGGGGCAGAAAUUAAAAAUUGAUAGAAAGCAAGCAUUAGUUAUUUUAAUUCAUUGGGAUCGUUGAGUGUGAUAAUGGCAUGACAGAUCGAGCUGGGUAGGCAAAUUUAGGAAUGAUGUUUGAUUGAAUGCGUGGAAUACUGAAUGUGUUGAAUGCUUUUCUAGUUUAUCUCAUGAAAUUGAAAUUGUAUUCAUUUGCCGAGGAAUGCCCCAUAGAAAUUGUAUUUAUUCAUCGGAGAAUGCCCCGAGGUAUCUGUAUUGCUUUAUCCGGGGAAUGCUCCGAGAAAGUUGUACUUUAAAAUGGCGCACGGUCAAGGCCCUGAACAUCAGAUAGAUUAAAGCACGGGAGCAUAAUUACGAUUAGUGUAGGUUAGAAUAGGAUUUAUUUUUUUCGCAUGUUUUAUUUUGGACUGUAUAAUUGGACUGAAAAAUUAUAUUUUGGGAUUUGUUUGUUUGGAUUUGUUCGUUAUUUAA